This is a long non-coding RNA of Haliotis rubra (blacklip abalone), 120 nucleotides long. RefSeq lists it as uncharacterized. Lineage: Eukaryota; Metazoa; Mollusca; Gastropoda; Lepetellida; Haliotidae. The transcript is spliced from 4 exons. The record is from RefSeq and is a predicted model, not a curated record.
AAUCUUUUAGAUACCGUACUGGGGCUCCUUUCACGAAGCAACCUUUACUAAGGUUAACCUUAACUCCCAUUCUUUUACAUUGAACUAAGGUUACUUUAGUGAUUUUACGACCACCUUAGC